CCUACGUGAGGCAGCAGUGGGGAAUAUUGCACAAUGGGGGAAACCCUGAUGCAGCGACGCCGCGUGAGUGAAGAAGUAAUUCGUUAUGUAAAGCUCUAUCAGCAGGGAAGAAAAUGACGGUACCUGAGUAAGAAGCCCCGGCUAACUACGUGCCAGCAGCCGCGGUAAUACGUAGGGGGCAAGCGUUAUCCGGAUUUACUGGGUGUAAAGGGAGCGUAGACGGCAGUGCAAGUCUGGAGUGAAAGGCGGGGGCGCAACCCCCGGACUGCUCUGGAAACUGUACGGCUGGAGUGCAGGAGAGGUUAGUGGAAUUCCUAGUGUAGCGGUGAAAUGCGUAGAUAUUAGGAGGAACA
Molecule: ribosomal RNA, 353 nt
Filed under: uncultured bacterium
Lineage: Bacteria
Description: partial 16S ribosomal RNA
Rfam family: Bacterial small subunit ribosomal RNA
Source: RNAcentral